GCUCGUAUAGUUCAAUGGAUAGAAUGAUCGGCUACGGUUCAAAUCGUCCGGGGGACGAUUGCCCUGAACGGACCGAAGCGGAGCGUAGAACCGAUUGAUUCAGGUUCGAAUCCUGAUAUGAGCA
RNAcentral lists this transfer RNA (124 nucleotides) under Eubacterium sp. RNAcentral's name for it is "tRNA-OTHER". It matches the Rfam family "tRNA". Rfam says of the family: Transfer RNA (tRNA) molecules are approximately 80 nucleotides in length. Their secondary structure includes four short double-helical elements and three loops (D, anti-codon, and T loops). Further hydrogen bonds mediate the characteristic L-shaped molecular structure. tRNAs have two regions of fundamental functional importance: the anti-codon, which is responsible for specific mRNA codon recognition, and the 3' end, to which the tRNAs corresponding amino acid is attached (by aminoacyl-tRNA synthetases). tRNAs cope with the degeneracy of the genetic code in two manners: having more than one tRNA (with a specific anti-codon) for a particular amino acid; and 'wobble' base-pairing, i.e. permitting non-standard base-pairing at the 3rd anti-codon position. The record is from RNAcentral. RNAcentral also lists the same sequence under 5 other names. Lineage: Bacteria; Bacillati; Bacillota; Clostridia; Eubacteriales; Eubacteriaceae.